AUUCUCAAUCUCCUCAAAGUUCUGAGCCUUCUGAUGCUCCUCUACGGGCUCGACCAUCCCUACAACAUCAACAAAAUGGAUGACCUAAUGUAAUGGAAUAUUGAGCCACUAAGGCAUCUUUACAGAUGUAUCUUAUUAAGCUGAAAUUCCUUUUUCAUCAACACAAACCAACCUACCAUCUUCAUCUUUUACACAGAACCAUCCUGGAAGGUCAUCACUGAAGGCUGGCAUGUGUGCACCCUUGGUAACUAGGCCAUCUGUUGUGGGUGUUAAAGGUCGAUUUGGCCUGUAGUCAACAAUGCAAACAAUAAUAUUAUCCUCAAAUGUAACUCAAGCAAAAUAUAUGAAAAGUUUGGUUUGACAAACUUUUUGCAUCUUGAUUAUGCAGAAUGUGAAAAAAUGUCUUUAAAGAUGUAGAUCCUGCAGGACCUAAAUAUUGGAAUUAAUUUCCUUUUAAGCCUUCUGAUAAGAAA
Molecule: long non-coding RNA, 473 nt
Organism: Ostrea edulis (European flat oyster)
Lineage: Eukaryota; Metazoa; Mollusca; Bivalvia; Ostreida; Ostreidae
Exons: 2
Source: RefSeq, a predicted model, not a curated record